This is a long non-coding RNA of Cercocebus atys (sooty mangabey), 1037 nucleotides long. RefSeq lists it as uncharacterized. The transcript is spliced from 2 exons. NCBI's taxonomy places the organism in Eukaryota, Metazoa, Chordata, Mammalia, Primates, Cercopithecidae. The record is from RefSeq and is a predicted model, not a curated record.
GUUGGGAUUACAGGCGUGAGCCAUCAUGCCUGGCCAAAACCAACAUAUUUUAUGGAUAGGAAAUUGAGGCUUAGAUGGGGGGAGAAAAACAUUACACAGAUUAAACCACAGCUAAUGUCAAGUGGUGACCAAAGGCGAAUCUUUUAUUGCAGGCUGUGGGUUUUUCCAUGUGGCCAGUUUCCUGUGCAGACCCAGGUGCAAUCCCAUCUCUAAGACAGGAUGCUAUUAGGUCUCAACAACCCAUGGGAAUUUAGGGUGCUCACGAUUUAGGCCGGGAAGAGGUGACUAAGCUCCUUGGUCUAAGGUCUAUGCAACUGGCCACUCACUCUGGACCAGGGACAUUCAAUGCCAGACAGCGGUAGGGGUGGUCUGGGGUGACAAGCCAGAUCCUGGGCAAAGCAGCCUUUCUGCUAAGGGUUCCCUGGCAGAGCACGACGAUGGCCACUUGGGAAUGUGAUCUGACAGUGACAGAAGUCUUCUUUCAAAGCCCAUUCCUAGGGCCUGCCGUUUCCCCAGCACUGUGUCCCAGGAAGCCCCCUUGCUAACCAUCUUUAUAAACGACUAAAACAUGUUUUGGAAAGUAGUUUUUCUUGGUAUUUAGUGUAUUGCUUACUCUCUUACUGUACUAAUAAUAUGAAUUGCUGAAGGCUUCCUGGAAAUCAAAACUACAAAUUAGAGAAAAAUAGGGUUAGAGAAAAUGUCUUUGAUAGUCCACUUUGAAAUUCAAAUAAUGAUUUGAGAGGUUUAAGAAUUAUUAUGUGAAUAGAUGGUGAAGUGACAGAAUAUUAAUUAUAGAAUCUAGCCAGUGUAUUUUUCAUAAUAAAAUGUUGGAAAAAAGUAUUAUCACAUUGUCUGUGGUUACCAAUAUCCAACAAGUUCAUGGGCUCCUACCGCUGGAUGUAACAGCAAAAAGUCUUGAAACAUAAAUUAAAUAUGGAAAUUAAUAGGGAAAGAUACAUGAUGGGGGAUUUACUAUGUGGAACAGACUCCAUUUGGAUCUUUUUUCACACCUUAAAAAAAAAAAAAAAAAAAAAAAA